UAAGGAAUAUUGGUCAAUGGACGCAAGUCUGAACCAGCCAUGCCGCGUGAAGGAUGAAGGUCCUCUGGAUUGUAAACUUCUUUUAUCUGGGACGAAAACGGGAUUUUUAUCUCAAUUGACGGUACCAGAGGAAUAAGCACCGGCUAACUCCGUGCCAGCAGCCGCGGUAAUACGGAGGGUGCGAGCGUUAUCCGGAUUUACUGGGUUUAAAGGGUGCGUAGGUGGGCUUAUAAGUAAGUGGUGAAAUCUCCGAGCUUAACUUGGAAACUGCCGUUGGUACAAUAGGUCUUGAAUUAUCUGGAGGUAAGCGGAAUAUGUCAUGUAGCGGUGAAAUGCUUAGAUAUGACAUAGAACACCAAUUGCGAAGGCAGCUUACUACAUAUAAAUUGACGCUGAGGCACGAAAGCGUGGGGAUCAAACA
Molecule: ribosomal RNA, 421 nt
Filed under: uncultured bacterium
Lineage: Bacteria
Description: bacterial SSU rRNA
Rfam family: Bacterial small subunit ribosomal RNA
Source: RNAcentral